RNAcentral lists this ribosomal RNA (545 nucleotides) under Micrococcaceae bacterium. Its description in RNAcentral is "bacterial SSU rRNA". It matches the Rfam family "Bacterial small subunit ribosomal RNA", at positions 266 to 822 of the family's 1533-position model. Lineage: Bacteria; Bacillati; Actinomycetota; Actinomycetes; Micrococcales; Micrococcaceae. The record is from RNAcentral.
UACCAAGGCGACGACGGGUAGCCGGCCUGAGAGGGUGACCGGCCACACUGGGACUGAGACACGGCCCAGACUCCUACGGGAGGCAGCAGUGGGGAAUAUUGCACAAUGGGCGCAAGCCUGAUGCAGCGACGCCGCGUGAGGGAUGACGGCCUUCGGGUUGUAAACCUCUUUCAGUAGGGAAGAAGCGUAAGUGACGGUACCUGCAGAAGAAGCGCCGGCUAACUACGUGCCAGCAGCCGCGGUAAUACGUAGGGCGCAAGCGUUAUCCGGAAUUAUUGGGCGUAAAGAGCUCGUAGGCGGUUUGUCGCGUCUGCUGUGAAAGACCGGGGCUCAAAUCCGGUUCUGCAGUGGGUACGGGCAGACUAGAGUGAUGUAGGGGAGACUGGAAUUCCUGGUGUAGCGGUGAAAUGCGCAGAUAUCAGGAGGAACAACCGAUGGCGAAGGCAGGUCUUUGGGCAUUAACUGACGCUGAGGAGCGAAAGCAGGGGGAGCGAACAGGAUUAGAUACCCUGGUAGUCCAUGCCGUAAACGUUGGGCACUAGGUG